Molecule: ribosomal RNA, 253 nt
Filed under: uncultured bacterium
Lineage: Bacteria
Description: partial 16S ribosomal RNA
Rfam family: Bacterial small subunit ribosomal RNA
Source: RNAcentral
UACGAAGGGGGCUAGCGUUGCUCGGAAUCACUGGGCGUAAAGCGCACGUAGGCGGCUUCUUAAGUCAGGGGUGAAAUCCUGGAGCUCAACUCCAGAACUGCCUUUGAUACUGAGAAGCUUGAGUUCGGGAGAGGUGAGUGGAACUGCGAGUGUAGAGGUGAAAUUCGUAGAUAUUCGGCGGAACACCAGUGGCGAAGGCGACUCACUGGCCCGAUACUGACGCUGAGGCGCGAAAGCGUGGGGAGCAAACAGG